This 252-nucleotide ribosomal RNA is filed under the name uncultured prokaryote. Its description in RNAcentral is "partial 16S ribosomal RNA". It matches the Rfam family "Archaeal small subunit ribosomal RNA", at positions 475 to 726 of the family's 1478-position model. The record is from RNAcentral.
AAGGGAGGCUCGAGGGGGGGGGAAGAAAAAAGGGCUUAAAGCGUUCGUAGCUGGCUUGUUAAGUCUCUGGGGAAAUCUUCCGGCUCAACCGGAAGGCGUCUCAGGGAUACUGGCAGGCUAGGGACCGGAAGAGGUGAGAGGUACUCCAGGGGUAGGAGUGAAAUCCUGUAAUCCUUGGGGGACCACCUGUGGCGAAGGCGUCUCACCAGGACGGCUCCGACAGUGAGGAACGAAAGCUGGGGGAGCAAACCG